Molecule: long non-coding RNA, 87 nt
Organism: Pipistrellus kuhlii (Kuhl's pipistrelle)
Lineage: Eukaryota; Metazoa; Chordata; Mammalia; Chiroptera; Vespertilionidae
Exons: 3
Source: RefSeq, a predicted model, not a curated record
AACACAAUAAAAUAUACAGAUGCUAUAGAGCUGGACACCUGAAACCUAUAGAAUUGUAUUCACCAAUGUCACCCCAAUAAAUUCAAU